RNAcentral lists this ribosomal RNA (423 nucleotides) under uncultured bacterium. RNAcentral's name for it is "partial 16S ribosomal RNA". It matches the Rfam family "Bacterial small subunit ribosomal RNA", at positions 359 to 774 of the family's 1533-position model. The record is from RNAcentral.
GAAUAUUGGACAAUCGGCGAAAGCCUGAUCCAGCCAUGCCGCGUGUGUGAAGGAGGUCUUCGGCUUGUAAAUCACUUUAAGUUGGGAGGAAGGGCAGUAAGCGAAUACCUUGCUGUUUUUACGUUCCCGACAGAAUAGGCACCGGCUAACUCUGUGCCACCACCCGCGGUAAUACAGAGGGUGCAAGCGUUAAUCGGAAUUAAUGGGCGUAAAGCGCGCGUAGGUGGGUCGUUAAGGUGGAUGUGAAAUCCCCGGGCUCAACCGGGGAACUGCAUCCAAAACUGGCGAGCUAGAGUAGGGCAGAGGGUGGUGGAAUUUCCUGUGUAGCGGUGAAAUGCGUAGAUAUAGGAAGGAACACCAGUGGCGAAGGCGACCACCUGGGCUCAUACUGACACUGAGGUGCGAAAGCGUGGGGAGCAAACA